Molecule: long non-coding RNA, 333 nt
Organism: Penaeus chinensis
Lineage: Eukaryota; Metazoa; Arthropoda; Malacostraca; Decapoda; Penaeidae
Exons: 3
Source: RefSeq, a predicted model, not a curated record
CAGAUACGGAGGCACGCACGCGUUUCCCUUAAAGCCACAACCUAAGGUAAAGAAGCAUCAACACAGGAUGAGCCUCGUGACACUGGCGUUGGUGUGCGUGGCAGUGGCCGCGUUGUGGGCGUAUUCAAAAUGGCGCCACAGCUACUGGGCAUCGCGGGGUGUGCAAACGCCGCCCUAUGUACCCAUCUUUGGUCACAUACAUCAUGCGCUCUCAAAGAAAGGGAAAUGGGAGUAUGAUACAGUGAAACACUACGCCUGUUUCCUCCAGCACCAUUUAUAGAACGACUGUGCACACGUGAAUAUCGGUAGGUAGCAAUACUAAUAACCAUGAAG